Molecule: ribosomal RNA, 1533 nt
Filed under: human gut metagenome
Description: bacterial LSU rRNA
Rfam family: Bacterial large subunit ribosomal RNA
Source: RNAcentral
AAUCGAACCCGGAGAUAGCUGGUUCUCCUCGAAAUAGCUUUAGGGCUAGCCUCAUUUUAGUCUUAUGGAGGUAGAGCACUGAAUUUCCGCGGGGGCGUCAAAGCUUACCAAAGAAUAUCAAACUCCGAAUGCCAUGUAGAUGAUGAAUGGGAGUCAGACUGCACGAGAUAAGUUGGGUGGUCAAAAGGGAAAGAGCCCAGACCUACAGCUAAGGUCCCAAAGUGCGUGUUAAGUGGAAAAGGAUGUGGGAUUUCAAAGACAACCAGGAUGUUGGCUCAGAAGCAGCCAUACAUUCAAAGAGUGCGUAACAGCUCACUGGUCGAGAGGUCCUGCGCCGAAAAUGUCCGGGGCUGAAACACGACACCGAAGCUUAGGAAUCACAUAGUGAUUGGUAGAGGAGCAUUCUUAAAACCGACGAAGCUGUACCGGAAGGAGCAGUGGAGGGAUAAGAAGAGAGAAUGCCGGAAUGAGUAGCGAGAGGAAGGUGGGAAUCCUUCCGGCCGAAUAUCUAAGGUUUCCAGAGUAAAGCUGAUCUGCUCUGGGUAAGUCGGGGCCUAAGGAGAGGUCGAAAGACGUAUCCGAUGGACAACAGGUUUAGAUUCCUGUACCACAUAUAAACAGAACUGUGGGGACGCAUGUGGAAAGCAUAAGCCGGGAAUGGAAAUACCGGUACAAACGGAAGAGGUGUCAGGCUGGCAAAUCCGCCUGGCAAGCCAAAGACGUGAUGUGGAGCGAAAUAAAAGUAGCGAAGUAUGUGAGCCAUGUGCCGAGAAAAGCCGCUAUAGCUUUAUAUGUGCCCGUACCGUAAACCGACACAGGUGGAUGAGGAGAGAAUCCUAAGGCCGACGGAAGAAGCAUUGUUAAGGAACUCGGCAAAAUGACCCCGUAACUUCGGGAGAAGGGGUGCCCACUUCAGGGUGGGCCGCAGAGAAUAGGCUCAAGCAACUGUUUAGCAAAAACACAGGUCUAUGCGAAACCGUAAGGUGAAGUAUAUGGGCUGACGCCUGCCCGGUGCUGGAAGGUUAAGAGGAGAGGUUAGCGCAAGCGAAGCUUUGAAUUUAAGCCCCAGUAAACGGCGGCCGUAACUAUAACGGUCCUAAGGUAGCGAAAUUCCUUGUCGGGUAAGUUCCGACCCGCACGAAAGGCGUAAUGAUUUGAGCACUGUCUCGACAAUGCAUCCGGUGAAAUUGAAGUACCAGUGAAGAUGCUGGUUACCCGCGCCAGGACGGAAAGACCCCAUGGAGCUUUACUCCAGUUUGGUACUGGGAUUCGGUACUGCAUGUACAGGAUAGGUGGGAGACUGAGAAAUUGGAACGCCAGUUUCAAUGGAGUCACUGUUGGGAUACCACCCCUGCAGUAUUGGGUUUCUAACCAGCCGCUGUGAUCCAGCGGUGGGACAAUGCCAGGCGGGGAGUUUGACUGGGGCGGUCGCCUCCGAAAGGGUAUCGGAGGCGCUCAAAGGUUCCCUCAGAAUGGUCGGAAACCAUUUGAAGAGUGCAAAGGCAGAAGGGAGCUUGACUGCGACACCGACGG